UUGCGACGGGUGAACUCAAAUCAUGUAAGGUCUUAGGGGUCGAACAGACCCCACCCUUCCCCGGCACCUNCGCCGGCAGGUUCCUCAAUUCAACAUCGAGGUGAUAAGCAAUCUUCGAUAGUGCUCUAAGAUUAAAUUAUCCUGUUAUCCCUAGAGUAGCUUUUAUUUAAUAAUCAUUGUCCGAGUUUAAUGAAACAAUGGGUCAUAAGUCUGCUUCGCAACUGUUAAAGUAAUUACUUAGCAGUAAUUAGUUAUGUUCUUUCUUUAAAACAUCGUUGCCCUAANUAAACUACCUCGUAUCGACUUAGAUUGUUGUUNCAGAUUUAAAGUCGAUUACUAUANUGUGAAGCUUCAUAGGDUCUUCUCGUCUUACAAUUUUNAAAUAGCAUCUUCACUAUUAGUUCAAUUUUAUUAAAUUUCUUUUAAGACAGUGAAGGCCUCGUAAAGCCAUUCAUACUAUCCCUCAAUUAAAGGGCUCAUUAUUGUGCUACAUUACGACCGUCAGGAAUACAGCCGCCAUUCAACAGAAUAACUUUUUUUAAGAAGAUGUUUUUUCDUUGGUUGGG
Molecule: ribosomal RNA, 566 nt
Filed under: Kirchenpaueria sp. CLAetal15
Lineage: Eukaryota; Metazoa; Cnidaria; Hydrozoa; Leptothecata; Kirchenpaueriidae
Description: partial large subunit ribosomal RNA
Source: RNAcentral